GUCACUAGCAUUCACUUUCAAAUGCCCCCUCUCCGCAAAGAGAGCUUUCGUACUAUUCUUACUUUCCGAUCUUACACUCUAAUAAACUUUUGCCUGCUGCUCAUUUAAUUCUGUGUCCACCUCUUCAUUCUUUGAAGCAGAGAGACAACGAACCCUGGGUAUUGAGGUAAAAAAUCCUGCAACAGUUGAUGCUCAAACAUUUGGUGAAGAGAUGAACUGAGUCCUUCCAGCAGUAUGGGCACAGUGAAUACCAAAUAGGCAUGAAUCGGGGCAACGGAUUGAUGGAGUAGCUUCAGUCAGCGUAAAACCUGUUGCUGGUGGCUGGUCGUCCUUAGGUUCUCGGGUCAGUCCUGGGACCUGGCACAUGGCUGAGUCAGCAUCUGGCUCAUCCAUCUGGGGAAGGCCCGGGGUCUCCAUCCUCGCAGUCCAGCAAGAGUCUAUAGUAUUUUGACGUAUAUCUGAGCAAGGCAAAGAAUUCGUGACCAGAUUUACAAAAGGAAGAAAGGCCUCUCUGAAAUACUGUUCGCUAUUCUGGACACUUUAACUUCUUUGGGCUUCCUUCAGGAUUUUGUGAGUUCUUCAGCAUAUAAAGCAGGUUAGGCUGAAGUCCGAGAGAAUAAGUGGCACACGUUUUGUUGAGUCCUGCAAAGCUGGCUGGGGCUAAGAAAUUAUAAUUAUUAGCAACAUGACAAUAAUUUAGGUUCUAGAAGAAAGUAAGCCCUCUUAGUGCCAGAAGAAUAAAGUCAAAGCAAACUUUCUCUCUGCAUGUGUAGCACUGCCUUCUAAAAUUGGGGGAAAGUGCUGAGAAGGCAUCAGGGUGCAGUGGAUGAGACGCAGACCAAGAGAUGUCAUUUGAAUUAAAAAUGAAUGUUUGUGCCUUUGAAGUCUGGAAGCCAGGCCUGCCUGAACCUUGCAGAGAGAUGCUCUUCUCUGUCCAGCUGACUUGUCCUGUGUCACCAUUUGGGGAAGCUGGCAUUCUCUGAUGCCUGAAGUAUAGCCAGUCUUGGUCUGGUUCCAUCAUAAUGAAGAUUCUCUGCAGGCAAGUUCUGGAAAACUUCAAUUUCCUUCUGCUGGUCAGCAGUUUAUGAUUCUGUGCUUUGAUGUGUGUAUGAGACAAUCCGUGUGUCAGUUGCAUGGAAUUUGUGAAAAGGAAAAAAACUUGCAGAAAAUGUUUAUACCCCCAUGUGACAUUGACCUGUGUCCAGAAAAUCACAAAUCUUCCAGGAAGAAGAGAGUGUGUUCUACUUCAAAGGAAGUCAUCACAUCUGCCUCUGGGUGCCUCCACCUCAGCCUGGGAAACCAGCACAGUCUCUAAAGGUGCACUUGUCCUGGCCUAAGGCCAGAGACCUGGGUGUCAGGGUUCUUGAACACCAGAAAGGAUGACUCAAUGACUCAUCCUUUCUCCUCUUUUCUCCACUCCCAGCCUCUUACCCAAACCUAUGCACGGAUAGCAGAUUAUGUCCAUCAACACUUCAGCUGGUGAGGUGCCUUAGAAUUCCAAAGGGUUCCAAAUGGAUUUUACAUUUCACUUACAAAGCAUUAUUAAUUAGCAUAUAUAUAAAUCUAGCAAGGUCAUAUAACAUUACAAUUUUUUGUUUUCCCUCAUAGAUUCUGAGAACUUCUUACUUACCUUGCCCUUCAUUGUCCAGGAGAGAGCCUGGUGGCCUUCAAUGGCCAUUUGUUUAAUGAAUUAAUCAGUAAGGAAUGCUUUCUUUAAUAAAUGGAAAUGUCUUUGA
Lynx canadensis (Canada lynx) is the source of this 1736-nucleotide long non-coding RNA. RefSeq lists it as uncharacterized. The record is from RefSeq and is a predicted model, not a curated record. The transcript is spliced from 2 exons. Lineage: Eukaryota; Metazoa; Chordata; Mammalia; Carnivora; Felidae.